CCUCUUUUAAGUGUUCAACAAUUUUGCUAAAGAAUAUGUGGGUUUUAACAGGUAAAGACAAUGAAAAUGAAUUUUGAUGAGCAUAUGCUGGUUGUGCCAAAAGUUUGGCUGUUUAUAUCCUGUCUGUUUAGAGCUGUACCUGCAUCAUUCUAAUGCAGACAUGCCCAGAGGUUGCACAAUGACUCUUGGAUAUUAGAUGCUUUUCAGUGCAUCCACAGUGAAGAAACCAAGUUCUUCAUACCGUAUGACUUGGAGAUUUCCAAUCAGGAGCUAAGUUAUAUAGUGAAACGAUCUGAGCAAUGGAGAGGAAUCAAUGGUGAAAGAAGAAAGGUGAGUUGGUCUGAAGGAGCUUUGUUUUUUGGACUGCUCAAAAAACCCUCACUCUGCUGGUAUAUCAGCAAGUUGAUGUUUCUUGUGUUGUUCUUGAAGUUAUUUACUGUUGUUUUGGCCACCAUGAUACAAAUCCUUACUAUUGUAUAACUGCCAUUUGACCUGAUUCUUUCUUACCUCUUCAGCCUCAUGUCCUGUAUCCUCAUCCAUCCGACCACUUCCCAGCCAGCAUACUUCUUGCCACAAUAUGAUUAAGCUAUAUAAAAAUAUGAGCAGUUCACUACACAUGCCAUACUGUUUCUCGCGUCCACGCAUUCCUCUCUGUUUGGAGCAAUAUCCUCCCAAUUUCUCAUGUAGUAUUUGGUAACCUAAUCAUUCUUCCAGGGCUCAGCUUGAG
Molecule: long non-coding RNA, 727 nt
Filed under: Pan troglodytes (chimpanzee)
Lineage: Eukaryota; Metazoa; Chordata; Mammalia; Primates; Hominidae
Description: lncRNA (ENSPTRG00000052967.1)
Source: RNAcentral